AACGAACGCUGGCGGCAGGCCUAACACAUGCAAGUCGAGCGAGGACUUCGGUUCUAGCGGCGGACGGGUGAGUAACGCGUGGGAAUGUGCCCUUCUCUACGGAAUAGCCCUGGGAAACUGGGAGUAAUACCGUAUACGCCCUUUCGGGGAAAGAUUUAUCGGAGAAGGAUCAGCCCGCGUUGGAUUAGGUAGUUGGUGGGGUAAUGGCCUACCAAGCCGACGAUCCAUAGCUGGUUUGAGAGGAUGAUCAGCCACACUGGGACCGAGACACGGCCCAGACUCCUACGGGAGGCAGCAGUGGGGAAUCUUAGACAAUGGGGGCAACCCUGAUCUAGCCAUGCCGCGUGAGUGAUGAAGGCCUUAGGGUUGUAAAGCUCUUUCAGCUGGGAAGAUAAUGACGGUACCAGCAGAAGAAGCCCCGGCUAACUCCGUG
RNAcentral lists this ribosomal RNA (433 nucleotides) under uncultured bacterium. Its description in RNAcentral is "partial 16S ribosomal RNA". It matches the Rfam family "Bacterial small subunit ribosomal RNA", at positions 29 to 507 of the family's 1533-position model. The record is from RNAcentral.